Molecule: ribosomal RNA, 492 nt
Filed under: uncultured bacterium
Lineage: Bacteria
Description: partial 16S ribosomal RNA
Rfam family: Bacterial small subunit ribosomal RNA
Source: RNAcentral
AGUGAACGCUGGCGGUAGGCCUAACACAUGCAAGUCGAACGGCAGCACAGUAAGAGCUUGCUCUUACGGGUGGCGAGUGGCGGACGGGUGAGGAAUACAUCGGAAUCUACUUUUUCGUGGGGGAUAACGUAGGGAAACUUACGCUAAUACCGCAUACGACCUACGGGUGAAAGCAGGGGAUCUUCGGACCUUGCGCGAUUGAAUGAGCCGAUGUCGGAUUAGCUAGUUGGCGGGGUAAAGGCCCACCAAGGCGACGAUCCGUAGCUGGUCUGAGAGGGUGAUCAGCCACACUGGAACUGAGACACGGUCCAGACUCCUACGGGAGGCAGCAGUGGGGAAUAUUGGACAAUGGGCGCAAGCCGGAUCCAGCCAUACCGCGUGGGUGAAGAAGGCCUUCUGGUUGUAAAGCCCUUUUGUUGGGAAAGAAAGGCAGCAGGUUAAUACCCCGCUGUUCUGACGGUACCCAAAGAAUAAGCACCGGCUAACUUCGUG